AUUGAACGCUGGCGGCAUGCCUUACACAUGCAAGUCGAACGGCAGCACGGGAGCAAUCCUGGUGGCGAGUGGCGAACGGGUGAGUAAUAUAUCGGAACGUGCCCAGGAGUGGGGGAUAGCCCGGCGAAAGCCGGAUUAAUACCGCAUACGACCCGAGGGUGAAAGCGGGGGAUCGCAAGACCUCGCGCAAUUGGAGCGGGCGAUAUCAGAUUGGCGUGUUGGUGGGGUAAAAGCCUACCAAGGCGACGACCUGUAGCUGGUCUGAGAGGACGACCAGCAGCACUGGGACUGAGACACGGCCCAGACGCCUACGGGAGGCAGCAGUGGGGAAUUUUGGACAAUGGGCGCAAGCCUGAUCCAGCCAUGCCGCGUGCGGGAAGAAGGCCUUCGGGUUGUAAACCGCUUUUGUCAGGGAAGAAACGGCUCUUGAUAAUACCGAGAGCUAAUGACGGUACCUGAAGAAUAAGCACCGGCUAACUACGUGCCAGCCGCCGCAGUAA
RNAcentral lists this ribosomal RNA (500 nucleotides) under uncultured bacterium. Its description in RNAcentral is "partial 16S ribosomal RNA". It matches the Rfam family "Bacterial small subunit ribosomal RNA", at positions 29 to 523 of the family's 1533-position model. The record is from RNAcentral.